Molecule: ribosomal RNA, 429 nt
Filed under: Chloroflexota bacterium
Lineage: Bacteria; Bacillati; Chloroflexota
Description: Chloroflexi bacterium partial 16S ribosomal RNA
Rfam family: Bacterial small subunit ribosomal RNA
Source: RNAcentral
UGGGGAAUAUUGCACAAUGGGCGCAAGCCUGAUGCAGCCAUGCCGCGUGUAUGAAGAAGGCCUUCGGGUUGUAAAGUACUUUCAGCGGGGAGGAAGGGAGUAAAGUUAAUACCUUUGCUCAUUGACGUUACCCGCAGAAGAAGCACCGACUAACUCCGUGCCAGCAGCCGCGGUAAUACGGAGGGUGCAAGCGUUAAUCGGAAUUACUGGGCGUAAAGCGCACGCAGGCGGUCUGUCAAGUCGGAUGUGAAAUCCCCGGGCUCAACCUGGGAACUGCAUUCGAAACUGGCAGGCUAGAGUCUUGUAGAGGGGGGUAGAAUUCCAGGUGUAGCGGUGAAAUGCGUAGAGAUCUGGAGGAAUACCGGUGGCGAAGGCGGCCCCCUGGACAAAGACUGACGCUCAGGUGCGAAAGCGUGGGGAGCAAACAGG